Molecule: ribosomal RNA, 876 nt
Filed under: uncultured bacterium
Lineage: Bacteria
Description: bacterial SSU rRNA
Rfam family: Bacterial small subunit ribosomal RNA
Source: RNAcentral
GCUUAACACAUGCAAGUCGAACGAAGCAUGUUGGAGCAGCCCUUCGGGGCUGGGAAGACAUGACUUAGUGGCGGACGGGUGAGUAACGCGUGAGCAACCUGGCCCAUAAGAGGGGGAUAACAGUUGGAAACGACUGCUAAUACCGCAUAAGACCACAUUACCGCAUGGUAGAGAGGUCAAAGAUUUAUCGCUUAUGGAUGGGCUCGCGUCCCAUUAGCUAGUUGGUGAGGUAACGGCUCACCAAGGCCGCGAUGGGUAGCCGACCUGAGAGGGUGAUCGGCCACACUGGAACUGAGACACGGUCCAGACUCCUACGGGAGGCAGCAGUGGGGAAUAUUGGGCAAUGGGGGCAACCCUGACCCAGCAACGCCGCGUGAGGGAAGAAGGUCUUCGGAUUGUAAACCUCUGUCCUUGGGGACGAAAAAAAUGACGGUACCCGAGGAGGAAGCCCCGGCUAACUACGUGCCAGCAGCCGCGGUAAUACGUAGGGGGCAAGCGUUGUCCGGAAUUACUGGGCGUAAAGGGAGCGUAGGCGGUUUAUUAAGUCAGAUGUGAAAUACCCGGGCUUAACCUGGGGCUUGCAUUUGAAACUGGUAGACUUGAGUGCAGGAGAGGAAAGUGGAAUUCCUAGUGUAGCGGUGAAAUGCGUAGAUAUUAGGAGGAACACCAGUGGCGAAGGCGACUUUUCUGGACUGUAACUGACGCUGAUGCUCGAAAGCGUGGGGGAGCAAACAGGAUUAGAUACCCUGGUAGUCCACGCUGUAAACGAUGGAUACUAGGUGUGGGGGUCAUAAGACUUCUGUGCCGCAGCUAACGCAUUAAGUAUCCCGCCUGGGGAGUACGGUCGCAAGACUGAAACUCAAAUGAAUUGACGGG